RNAcentral lists this unclassified non-coding RNA (154 nucleotides) under uncultured Cenococcum. Its description in RNAcentral is "sequence contains ITS2". Lineage: Eukaryota; Fungi; Ascomycota; Dothideomycetes; Gloniales; Gloniaceae. The record is from RNAcentral.
UCACCCUUCAAGCCCUGCGCUUGGUGUUGGGCGACGUCCUCUUUGGGGACGCGCCUCAAAACGCUCGGCGGCGUGGCACCGGCUUUAAGCGUAGCAGAAUCUUAUCUUUCGCUUUGAAAGUCGGGGCCACAUCUGCCGGAAGACCUACUCGCAA